GNACGCUGGCGUCAGGCCUAANCACAUGNAAGUCGAGCGGUAACAGANAGUAGCUUGCUACUUUGNUGACGAGCGGCGGACGGGUGAGUAAUGCUUGGGAACAUGCCUUGAGGUGGGGGACAACAGUUGGAAACGACUGCUAAUACCGCAUAAUGUCUACGGACCAAAGGGGGCUUCGGCUCUCGCCUUUAGAUUGGCCCAAGUGGGAUUAGCUAGUUGGUGAGGUAAUGGCUCACCAAGGCGACGAUCCCUAGCUGGUUUGAGAGGAUGAUCAGCCACACUGGGACUGAGACACGNCCCAGACUCCUACGGGAGGCAGCAGUGGGGAAUAUUGCACAAUGGGCGCAAGCCUGAUGCAGCCAUGCCGCGUGUGUGAAGAAGGCCUUCGGGUUGUAAAGCACUUUCAGUCAGGAGGA
This 416-nucleotide ribosomal RNA is filed under the name uncultured Alteromonadales bacterium. RNAcentral's name for it is "bacterial SSU rRNA". It matches the Rfam family "Bacterial small subunit ribosomal RNA", at positions 31 to 448 of the family's 1533-position model. Lineage: Bacteria; Pseudomonadati; Pseudomonadota; Gammaproteobacteria; Alteromonadales. The record is from RNAcentral.